This 408-nucleotide ribosomal RNA is filed under the name uncultured bacterium. Its description in RNAcentral is "partial 16S ribosomal RNA". It matches the Rfam family "Bacterial small subunit ribosomal RNA", at positions 28 to 526 of the family's 1533-position model. The record is from RNAcentral.
GACGAACGCUGGCGGCGUGCUUAACACAUGCAAGUCGAACGGAGUGGCGAACGGGUGAGUAACACGUGGGUGAUCUGCCUUGCACUUCGGGAUAAGCUUGGGAAACUGGGUCUAAUACCGGAUAGUGCAAGAUGAGCUCGCGGCCUAUCAGCUUGUUGGUGGGGUAAUGGCCUACCAAGGGGUCGACGGGUAGCCGGCCUGGGAGGGGGUACGGGCACCAUGGGACUGAGGUACGGCCCAGAAGGCUACGGGAGGCAGCAGGGGGGAAUAUUGCACAAUGGGCGGAAGUCUGAUGCAGAGACGCUGCGUGGGGGAUGAAGGCCUUCGGGUUGUAAACUCCUUUCGACAGGGACGCGGUACCUGUAUAAGAAGCACCGGCUAACUACGUGCCAGCAGCCGCGGUAAUUC